AGUGAACGCUGGCGGUAGGCCUAACACAUGCAAGUCGAACGGCAGCACAGUAAGAGCUUGCUCUUACGGGUGGCGAGUGGCGGACGGGUGAGGAAUACAUCGGAAUCUACUUUUUCGUGGGGGAUAACGUAGGGAAACUUACGCUAAUACCGCAUACGACCUACGGGUGAAAGCAGGGGAUCUUCGGACCUUGCGCGAUUGAAUGAGCCGCUGUCGGUUUAGCUAGUUGGCGGGGUAAAGGCCCACCAAGGCGACGAUCCGUAGCUGGUCUGAGAGGAGGGUCGCCCACAUUGGAACUGAGACACGGUCCAGACUCCUACGGGAGGCAGCAGUGGGGAAUAUUGGACAAUGGGCGCAAGCCUGAUCCAGCCAUACCGCGUGGGUGAAGAAGGCCUUCGGGUUGUAAAGCCCUUUUGUUGGGAAAGAAAAGCAGCAGGUUAAUACCCCGCUGUUCUGACGGUACCCAAAGAAUAAGCACCGGCUAACUUCGUG
RNAcentral lists this ribosomal RNA (492 nucleotides) under uncultured bacterium. RNAcentral's name for it is "partial 16S ribosomal RNA". It matches the Rfam family "Bacterial small subunit ribosomal RNA", at positions 29 to 507 of the family's 1533-position model. The record is from RNAcentral.